This 333-nucleotide long non-coding RNA is filed under the name Volvox carteri. RNAcentral's name for it is "long non-coding RNA (VCAR_LNC001527)". Lineage: Eukaryota; Viridiplantae; Chlorophyta; Chlorophyceae; Chlamydomonadales; Volvocaceae. The record is from RNAcentral.
GAGAAUCUACACAAUACUGUGAUGCCACAUUUAGGCCGAAGGGGUGAACUUGGUGGCGUAGGCGAAGGCGUUGACAGCGCUGGGGUUGGCGAGGUGGUCAGACAGGUUCUCGAUGGGGCCCUUGCCGGUCACAAUGGCCUGCACGAAGAAGCCGAACAUGGAGAACAUGGCCAGGCGGCCGUUCUUGAUCUCCUUGACCUUGAGCUCGGCGAAGGUAUCCGGGUCGUCAGCCAGGCCCAGCGGGUCGAAGGCGCCACCGGGGUGAAGCGGGUCCAGGCCCUCACCCAGCGGGCCGCCGUUGGCGCGGUAAGCCUCAGCCAGGCCCAUCACGAC